UAGGGAAUCUUCCACAAUGGACGCAAGUCUGAUGGAGCAACGCCGCGUGAGUGAAGAAGGUUUUCGGAUCGUAAAGCUCUGUUGUUGGUGAAGAAGGAUAGAGGCAGUAGCUGGUCUUUAUUUGACGGUAAUCAACCAGAAAGUCACGGCUAACUACGUGCCAGCAGCCGCGGUAAUACGUAGGUGGCAAGCGUUGUCCGGAUUUAUUGGGCGUAAAGCGAGCGCAGGCGGAAUGAUAAGUCUGAUGUGAAAGCCCACGGCUCAACCGUGGAACUGCAUCGGAAACUGUCAUUCUUGAGUGCAGAAGAGGAUAGUGGAAUUCCAUGUGUAGCGGUGGAAUGCGUAGAUAUAUGGAAGAACACCAGUGGCGAAGGCGGCUCUCUGGUCUGCAACUGACGCUGAGGCUCGAAAGCAUGGGUAGCGAACAGG
Molecule: ribosomal RNA, 429 nt
Filed under: bacterium
Lineage: Bacteria
Description: partial 16S ribosomal RNA
Rfam family: Bacterial small subunit ribosomal RNA
Source: RNAcentral